This 649-nucleotide long non-coding RNA is filed under the name Panax ginseng (ginseng). RNAcentral describes it as "long non-coding RNA (PGIN_LNC009019)". Lineage: Eukaryota; Viridiplantae; Streptophyta; Magnoliopsida; Apiales; Araliaceae. The record is from RNAcentral.
AAAAAAAAGGAAUGUAAAAUAAAUAAUAAAUGGUUCAUGAAAACAAAGUACAAAGCACAAAUUUCUCAGAUUAAACUUUAUUAGAGGAGACUAUUCAAAAGAUUUGGUCUAGUAUUGGCGGCGUUGCCUUUGUCUCUUUCAUUAUUAAAUUUUGCAAACUUAAUCUUGUUUCACCCUUAAAUCAUGUGUUUGCCUAAUUUUAUUUUUUUUGGUUAUAUUGCUUCAAUCUGAUCCGAUUUUAUUGUCUACUUUUCUAUACAGGAGUCCAAAUCAGUUUUGAUGAUUUGUAUACUGAUGAAAAGAAUAAAUUUCAAAGAGUAGUGGAUUCUAGAGAGCUAAGCAGUUUGAUUGAGCCAUGGGAACCUUACUUUGGUUGUUGAAGCUUUCCGCUAAAACAAUAUAUAUCUCUGAGCCAAGAAGGAAUACAAACCCACAGUUUUAAUUGGAUCAUUGCAUUUGACACAUAUGAUCUAUGUAAGACCCCGAAUUUUUUUUAAAUAAAAAGGAAUUUCUUUUAUUUAUUAUUUUGAAAUAGUAAGGGUGAAUUUGAUUAAUGUGGUUAGUUAUGGGUAAAAUGCGCAAAUAUUUUAAAUAAGCAAGUGGUGAUAUAAUAUUCAUUAUUGUCGGGGAAUAUUCGUUUGGUCGUGGA